AUGACGGGGCGGGUCGGGAGGCGGGGAAAGCCGUCCAUGGCAAUCCUGGUGGCGUUGCUAAUGGCGUCAGUGGCACUGCCGCUCCUCAUGGUGCCCGACAUGCUCUCUAUGCCAGGCUCCAACGGCGUGGAUCGCGGCGCCGCCUUGUCGCUCCCACGCCCGUGCUUCAGCAGAUCCGUGAGGCUGGAGAACAGCAGGGAGAAAAGGGAGUCGUGGAUGGAGGUUCUGUACUUCUGUUGUAUCAACAUCUUCUCCAUGAGUCUUUUGCCCCCACUCUGUUUUUGGUUUGGGCCGAAACGUCAUCGUCUUGAUUCUUUACGUGGUUCAUUGGCUCAGACUUGUCCUACAUGGCCGAGCGAGAUCGAGGCUAGCCACCGGUAA
Molecule: ribosomal RNA, 381 nt
Filed under: Triticum aestivum (bread wheat)
Lineage: Eukaryota; Viridiplantae; Streptophyta; Magnoliopsida; Poales; Poaceae
Description: partial small subunit ribosomal RNA
Source: RNAcentral